RNAcentral lists this transfer RNA (80 nucleotides) under Palleronia abyssalis. RNAcentral's name for it is "tRNA-Ala". Lineage: Bacteria; Pseudomonadati; Pseudomonadota; Alphaproteobacteria; Rhodobacterales; Roseobacteraceae. The record is from RNAcentral.
UAUCGCGAUGCUGUGCGUGUUCGGCAAGCCGCUGUUCGCGCUGGCGGUGACGGCGCUGCUGCUGGUGCAGUUCGCGCUGA